Molecule: ribosomal RNA, 281 nt
Filed under: uncultured bacterium
Lineage: Bacteria
Description: partial 16S ribosomal RNA
Rfam family: Bacterial small subunit ribosomal RNA
Source: RNAcentral
UGCCAGCCGCCGCGGUAAUACGGAGGGGGUUAGCGUUGUUCGGAAUUACUGGGCGUAAAGCGACACGUAGGCGGAUUAGAAAGUUAGAGGUGAAAUCCCGGGGCUCAACCCCGGAACUGCCUUUAAAACUACUAGUCUCAGAGUUCGAGAGAGGUGAGUGGAAUUCCGAGUGUAGAGGUGAAAUUCGUAGAUAUUCGGAGGAACACCAGUGGCGAAGGCGGCUCACUGGCUCGAUACUGACGCUGAUGAGGGAAAGUGUGGGGGGAAAACAGGAUUUGAUG